CCUACGGGUGGCAGCAGUGAGGAAUAUUGGUCAAUGGACGAGAGUCUGAACCAGCCAAGUAGCGUGAAGGAUGACUGCCCUAUGGGUUGUAAACUUCUUUUAUAAAAGAAUAAAACGAGGCACGUGUGCCUUUUUGCAUGUACUUUAUGAAUAAGGAUCGGCUAACUCAGUGCCAGCAGCCGCGGUAAUACGGAGGAUCCGAGCGUUAUCCGGAUUUAUUGGGUUUAAAGGGAGCGUAGAUGGGUUGUUAAGUCAGUGGUGAAAGGUUGCGGCGCAAACGUGAAAUUGCAAUUGAUACUGGCAGUCUUGAGUACAGUUGAGGUAGGCGGAAUGCGUGGUGUAGCGGUGAAAUGCUUAGAGAUCACGAAGAACCCCGAUUGCGAAGGCAGCUUACUAAACUGUGACUGACAUUGAUGCUCGAAAGUGUGGGUAUCAAACAGGAUUAGAUACCCGAGUAGUC
This 460-nucleotide ribosomal RNA is filed under the name uncultured bacterium. RNAcentral's name for it is "partial 16S ribosomal RNA". It matches the Rfam family "Bacterial small subunit ribosomal RNA", at positions 338 to 795 of the family's 1533-position model. The record is from RNAcentral.